This 900-nucleotide ribosomal RNA is filed under the name uncultured bacterium. Its description in RNAcentral is "bacterial SSU rRNA". It matches the Rfam family "Bacterial small subunit ribosomal RNA", at positions 8 to 902 of the family's 1533-position model. The record is from RNAcentral.
AGAGUUUGAUCAUGGCUCAGAUUGAACGCUGGCGGCAGGCUUAACACAUGCAAGUCGAGCGGGGGAGAGUAGCUUGCUACUUUACCUAGCGGCGGACGGGUGAGUAAUGCUUAGGAAUCUGCCUAUUAGUGGGGGACAACAUCUCGAAAGGGAUGCUAAUACCGCAUACGUCCUACGGGAGAAAGCAGGGGACCUUCGGGCCUUGCGCUAAUAGAUGAGCCUAAGUCGGAUUAGCUAGUUGGUGGGGUAAAGGCCUACCAAGGCGACGAUCUGUAGCGGGUCUGAGAGGAUGAUCCGCCACACUGGGACUGAGACACGGCCCAGACUCCUACGGGAGGCAGCAGUGGGGAAUAUUGGACAAUGGGGGGAACCCUGAUCCAGCCAUGCCGCGUGUGUGAAGAAGGCCUUUUGGUUGUAAAGCACUUUAAGCGAGGAGGAGGCUACCGAGAUUAAUACUCUUGGAUAGUGGACGUUACUCGCAGAAUAAGCACCGGCUAACUCUGUGCCAGCAGCCGCGGUAAUACAGAGGGUGCAAGCGUUAAUCGGAUUUACUGGGCGUAAAGCGCGCGUAGGUGGCCAAUUAAGUCAAAUGUGAAAUCCCCGAGCUUAACUUGGGAAUUGCAUUCGAUACUGGUUGGCUAGAGUAUGGGAGAGGAUGGGUAGAAUUCCAGGUGUAGCGGUGAAAUGCGUAGAGAUCUGGAGGAAUACCGAUGGCGAAGGCAGCCAUCUGGCCUAAUACUGACACUGAGGUGCGAAAGCAUGGGGAGCAAACAGGAUUAGAUACCCUGUAGUCCAUGCCGUAAACGAUGUCUACUAGCCGUUGGGGCCUUUGAGGCUUUAGUGGCGCAGCUAACGCGAUAAGUAGACCGCCUGGGGAGUACGGUCGCAAGACUAAAACUC